UACAGAGGUCUCAAGCGUUGUUCGGAUUCAUUGGGCGUAAAGGGUGCGUAGGUGGCGCCGUAAGUCAGGUGUGAAAUUUCGGAGCUCAACUCCGAAACUGCAUUUGAUACUGCGGUGCUUGAGGACUGGAGAGGAGACUGGAAUUCACGGUGUAGCAGUGAAAUGCGUAGAUAUCGUGAGGAAGACCAGUGGCGAAGGCGGGUCUCUGGACAGUUCCUGACACUGAGGCACGAAGGCCAGGGGAGCAAACGGG
RNAcentral lists this ribosomal RNA (253 nucleotides) under uncultured bacterium. Its description in RNAcentral is "partial 16S ribosomal RNA". It matches the Rfam family "Bacterial small subunit ribosomal RNA", at positions 524 to 776 of the family's 1533-position model. The record is from RNAcentral.